Long non-coding RNA from Echinops telfairi (small Madagascar hedgehog), 173 nucleotides. RefSeq lists it as uncharacterized. The record is from RefSeq and is a predicted model, not a curated record. The transcript has 2 exons. NCBI's taxonomy places the organism in Eukaryota, Metazoa, Chordata, Mammalia, Afrosoricida, Tenrecidae.
CCGACGCCGGUUCAUAGGCGCGGGCCGGCGUGUCCUUGGACUUAGAGAGCGGGACAUCCGGCCUCUGGACGGUACGGUCGAGUGGCGCGCGACGAGAGCGUGAAUUCACGAUGGCUGAUACUGAGAAGGGCAAGAAAAUUUUUGUUCAGAAGUGUGCCCAGUGCCACACUGUG